This 2904-nucleotide ribosomal RNA is filed under the name Escherichia coli. Its description in RNAcentral is "23S ribosomal RNA". It matches the Rfam family "Bacterial large subunit ribosomal RNA". The record is from RNAcentral. Lineage: Bacteria; Pseudomonadati; Pseudomonadota; Gammaproteobacteria; Enterobacterales; Enterobacteriaceae.
GGUUAAGCGACUAAGCGUACACGGUGGAUGCCCCGGCAGUCAGAGGCGAUGAAGGACGUGCUAAUCUGCGAUAAGCGUCGGUAAGGUGAUAUGAACCGUUAUAACCGGCGAUUUCCGAAUGGGGAAACCCAGUGUGUUUCGACACACUAUCAUUAACUGAAUCCAUAGGUUAAUGAGGCGAACCGGGGGAACUGAAACAUCUAAGUACCCCGAGGAAAAGAAAUCAACCGAGAUUCCCCCAGUAGCGGCGAGCGAACGGGGAGGAGCCCAGAGCCUGAAUCAGUGUGUGUGUUAGUGGAAGCGUCUGGAAAGGCGCGCGAUACAGGGUGACAGCCCCGUACACAAAAAUGCACAUACUGUGAGCUCGAUGAGUAGGGCGGGACACGUGGUAUCCUGUCUGAAUAUGGGGGACCAUCCUCCAAGGCUAAAUACUCCUGACUGACCGAUAGUGAACCAGUACCGUGAGGGAAAGGCGAAAAGAACCCCGGCGAGGGGAGUGAAAAAGAACCUGAAACCGUGUACGUACAAGCAGUGGGAGCCUCUUUUAUGGGGUGACUGCGUACCUUUUGUAUAAUGGGUCAGCGACUUAUAUUCUGUAGCAAGGUUAACCGAAUAGGGGAGCCGAAGGGAAACCGAGUCUUAACUGGGCGUUAAGUUGCAGGGUAUAGACCCGAAACCCGGUGAUCUAGCCAUGGGCAGGUUGAAGGUUGGGUAACACUAACUGGAGGACCGAACCGACUAAUGUUGAAAAAUUAGCGGAUGACUUGUGGCUGGGGGUGAAAGGCCAAUCAAACCGGGAGAUAGCUGGUUCUCCCCGAAAGCUAUUUAGGUAGCGCCUCGUGAAUUCAUCUCCGGGGGUAGAGCACUGUUUCGGCAAGGGGGUCAUCCCGACUUACCAACCCGAUGCAAACUGCGAAUACCGGAGAAUGUUAUCACGGGAGACACACGGCGGGUGCUAACGUCCGUCGUGAAGAGGGAAACAACCCAGACCGCCAGCUAAGGUCCCAAAGUCAUGGUUAAGUGGGAAACGAUGUGGGAAGGCCCAGACAGCCGGGAUGUUGGCUUAGAAGCAGCCAUCAUUUAAAGAAAGCGUAAUAGCUCACUGGUCGAGUCGGCCUGCGCGGAAGAUGUAACGGGGCUAAACCAUGCACCGAAGCUGCGGCAGCGACGCUUAUGCGUUGUUGGGUAGGGGAGCGUUCUGUAAGCCUGUGAAGGUGUACUGUGAGGUAUGCUGGAGGUAUCAGAAGUGCGAAUGCUGACAUAAGUAACGAUAAAGCGGGUGAAAAGCCCGCUCGCCGGAAGACCAAGGGUUCCUGUCCAACGUUAAUCGGGGCAGGGUGAGUCGACCCUAAGGCGAGGCCGAAAGGCGUAGUCGAUGGGAAACAGGUUAAUAUUCCUGUACUUGGUGUUACUGCGAAGGGGGGACGGAGAAGGCUAUGUUGGUACGGGCGACGGUUGUCCCGGUUUAAGCGUGUAGGCUGGUUUUCGAGCAAAUCCGGAAAAUCAAGGCUGAGGCGUGAUGACGAGGCACUACGGUGCUGAAGCAACAAAUGCCCUGCUUCCGGGAAAAGCCUCUAAGCAUCAGGUAACAUCAAAUCGUACCCCAAACCGACACAGGUGGUCAGGUAGAGAAUACCAAGGCGCUUGAGAGAACUCGGGUGAAGGAACUAGGCAAAAUGGUGCCGUAACUUCGGGAGAAGGCACGCUGAUAUGUAGGUGAAGCGACUUGCUCGUGGAGCUGAAAUCAGUCGAAGAUACCAGCUGGCUGCAACUGUUUAUUAAAAACACAGCACUGUGCAAACACGAAAGUGGACGUAUACGGUGUGACGCCUGCCCGGUGCCGGAAGGUUAAUUGAUGGGGUUAGCGGUAACGCGAAGCUCUUGAUCGAAGCCCCGGUAAACGGCGGUAGUAACUAUAACGGUCCUAAGGUAGCGAAAUUCCUUGUCGGGUAAGUUCCGACCUGCACGAAUGGCGUAAUGAUGGCACGAGCUGUCUCCACCCGAGACUCAGUGAAAUUGAACUCGCUGUGAAGAUGCAGUGUACCCGCGGCAAGACGGAAAGACCCCGUGAACCUUUACUAUAGCUUGACACUGAACAUUGAGCCUUGAUGUGUAGGAUAGGUGGGAGGCUUUGAAGUGUGGACGCCAGUCUGCAUGGAGCCGACCUUGAAAUACCACCCUUUAAUGUUUGAUGUUCUAACGUUGGCCCCUGAUCGGGGUUGCGGACAGUGUCUGGUGGGUAGUUUGACUGGGGCGGUCUCCUCCUAAAGAGUAACGGAGGAGCACGAAGGUUGGCUAAUCCUGGUCGGACAUCAGGAGGUUAGUGCAAUGGCAUAAGCCAGCUUGACUGCGAGCGUGACGGCGCGAGCAGGUGCGAAAGCAGGUCAUAGUGAUCCGGUGGUUCUGAAUGGAAGGGCCAUCGCUCAACGGAUAAAAGGUACUCCGGGGAUAACAGGCUGAUACCGCCCAAGAGUUCAUAUCGACGGCGGUGUUUGGCACCUCGAUGUCGGCUCAUCACAUCCUGGGGCUGAAGUAGGUCCCAAGGGUAUGGCUGUUCGCCAUUUAAAGUGGUACGCGAGCUGGGUUUAGAACGUCGUGAGACAGUUCGGUCCCUAUCUGCCGUGGGCGCUGGAGAACUGAGGGGGCUGCUCCUAGUACGAGAGGACCGGAGUGGACGCAUCACUGGUGUUCGGGUUGUCAUGCCAAUGGCACUGCCCGGUAGCUAAAUGCGGAAGAGAUAAGUGCUGAAAGCAUCUAAGCACGAAACUUGCCCCGAGAUGAGUUCUCCCUGAGACUUUAAGUCUCCUGAAGGAACGUUGAAGACGACGACGUUGAUAGGCCGGGUGUGUAAGCGCAGCGAUGCGUUGAGCUAACCGGUACUAAUGAACCGUGAGGCUUAACCUU